Lolium rigidum is the source of this 2682-nucleotide RNA transcript. RefSeq lists it as uncharacterized. The transcript has 5 exons. Lineage: Eukaryota; Viridiplantae; Streptophyta; Magnoliopsida; Poales; Poaceae. The record is from RefSeq and is a predicted model, not a curated record.
AUUUUCUCUCCCCCUCCACUAUCCGUCACCGUCCCAGCUUGGGCGUGGAGUAGCGACCGCGGAGGUCCAGCGUCAAGAGGCAGUGCAGGCCGACCUGCUUGGGGGUGGGGAACGGCGGCCGCUGUUGAGGUCAGCCGGAGCUUGGCCGGGGAAAGCUGCCGGCGAGGUGCAGCCAGCGUGGUCGCCGACGUCCCCGCGCAGCGGCAGCCACCGAAGAAAUUAGGCGGUCGCGCGGCGCCGCUGCAGAUUAUUCAUCUUUGCCCCUUCCUCUUGGACCUCGCUGCUAUUCCUUCCUGCGACCGCGCCGUCCGGCGUUGAGGAGCUCGUGAUUGUCAGCAGGGACAACGAGGGUGGGCGCCUGGGGGAGACACCGUUCCCUCCCGAUGCUACCCUGGGCAUCGCGGAUGGCAUUAGCGAAGCAGUCAUAAUCGUACGCGCCAGAGCUCCACCGUAUUGCCCGAGAUCUCUGCCGCGGCCGUUGAUACAAGCACGCCCUUGAGGAAUCUGUGCAGUCACCAGGAAGAUGUGGCCACAAGACUCGUGGAGCGUGUUUUCGACUUGCAAAGAGAAUGACUGAACGUUUCUAGGUGCACGUUAGGCACAGUUUCAGUUCUAAAAUUCAAUCGUAGAUUGCUAGGAAUCUACACGAUUCUUGUGUUUCUAGGUGCACGUGACAGUUUCAGUCUUGCACAGAGAAUGGCUUAACGGUUUUUCCUUCUCCAGCUGUGAUUCACUCUUUUUUCUUUGAGGUUUCUGAAAUUUCUCAGAGUGACCAUCUUUCCUGACCAUUAUAACUCGUGUCAUUUGUUAUGCGGUGCAGUAGCUUCUAUUAUAGUUCAUCUACACUCGGUUAAUUGAAAGUAUGAUUGAAUGCAGAUUCAGGUGUGCUAUUUGUUUUCUGUCUGUCUAAUGAAGUAUUAUUGUGAUACAUGUAUAUGCCUCCAGGCUGGACAGUUUAGAUGCUCUGCUGCCUCCGUUUAAGUCUUGUGCUCUGCUUUCUACUAUGAUGGAGUUUUAAUCAGCAAAAAUUCGAUAAUCAUCCCACUUCCUAUGCUUGGGAUCAAAUACAGAAUUGUUGGAUUGGCUCUUCUACCGAACAUUGUUGUUUACUUUAUUUAUGUUGCCCAGCUAUUUCUUCAAGGAAUGUUGGCCAGCUAUUUAUUCAAGGAAGAACCAACAAAGCCUGGGGCCUGAUAUAUUGGCAUCUAAUAGAAGUUGGAAUAUAUUGCACCUGAUAAUGAGUGACUAAUCCACACAGCUUUAAUACAACAAUGAAGACACUUCAAAUAAAAUUGGUGAUCUACAUACAUAGUCAAAAAAAUUCCCGAAAGCUAGCAUUGUCCACUGCCUUCUCUUUCCAGAAAUUAGCUGGGCCAAAUAUUUCCUUCAACAAAACAUAUUUUAAUCUUAAUAAUGGUUGUUUCUUAAUUUAACUGUGGUGGUAACUAUAUUAAUGUGCAGUUUUUUCCCCAGAAGGAAACUUAGUAAUCAGUCAACUGUGAAUCCUCCAGAUUGUACACCUUUCAGGACUUGGUCUUUUCUUUCGCUUUCCUCUAUGGGAGCUAAAACACAUCAUAAUGAAGUACUUUUAUGCACAUGUCCUACAGUUUUUUAAUGACUCGGAGAUGCAGGAUAAUCCUUAAGUUGAUUCAUAAGGUCUUCUACCAACCGAAUACAAGAGUAUACGAUGGCCUAAAGUCCUGGAUAGAAGGAUUUAGAUGUGGGAUCGAAGGUCACUUGGAGGACAAUAGGCAGGCUGUACCGGAAUUUACUCAACUGCCAAUUACGGAUCAAUUAUACUGUUGUCUUGCAUUGUGUUCUCCAGCUGGUUGUACAGCUAUUGCCGCUACAGGUCUGAACUCUGAAUUUACUCAACUUCCAAUUACGGAUCAAUUCAACAACGGUCUGAAGCAGAUCAGAUUGCAGCCAUUGUCUAAGCUCCCGGUGGAUGCACUGUAGGGGAGCUACCAAGCCUGGCAUUGAAGUAUCAAGUCGAGAAUAAGGACACAAAUACCAUCUAUAUUUUGCGUUGUGCACUAAAGCCGCGUCAGUUAUUGCACAAACUGACAGGAUGUCAAGCCAUGCUACAGAGAGAGGGAGAGGGAGAGAGAGAGAGUUCAGAAGCAGUUGCUGCCCUAGCCAAGAAAAGGUACAUCCCCACAUUAGUUCCAUACUGAUGAAGUUACAGUAGAACUACCAAUCUUUCCAUUCACUCUCUGCAGUGGAAACAAUGAGCAUAAAAAACCAUUACGAAUAGUUCCCGCCUAAGUAGAUCAUUGGACGCUGCCAGCUCAAAUUUUAGAAUGAACUUCAGGUAAAUAAAAGGAGUUUCAUAACAAGCAUAAAAACACUAAUUCUGGAAUUUCCUCCAUGCAGGAAACACCAAUAUCUCAUCUCCAGCAACAGGUCAAUGUAGCCUGAAAGAGAGAAAGAAAAAGAGUAUUCCUACUAAGUUAAACUAGCAUAAUUGCUUCAUCAAUAUAGCUAUUUGGUGGGCACCCGCCAUCGGAAAUUCUAUAGUACUGCAUCCAUUGCUUAUGUUGGACAAUUUCCAAUGUAAUUACCUCUAUUACAAAUUAUUAGCACCACCUAACCGUCUCCGCACUUGAGUGUAGAUGUAUGUGUCUCUAUUUUAAACAUAGAUUAUUAUUCACAGGCGCGGCGUGUCGCCGCGCUCCCCUU